Molecule: ribosomal RNA, 253 nt
Filed under: uncultured bacterium
Lineage: Bacteria
Description: partial 16S ribosomal RNA
Rfam family: Bacterial small subunit ribosomal RNA
Source: RNAcentral
UACGUAGGGGGCAAGCGUUGUCCGGAAUCAUUGGGCGUAAAGAGCGUGUAGGCGGCCCGGUAAGCCCGCUGUGAAAGUCCAGGGCUCAACCCUGGGAUGCCGGUGGAUACUGUCGGGCUCGAGUCCGGAAGAGGAGUGUGGAAUUCCUGGUGUAGCGGUGAAAUGCGCAGAUAUCAGGAGGAACACCAAUGGCGAAGGCAGCACUCUGGGACGUGACUGACGCUGAGACGCGAAAGCGUGGGGAGCAAACAGG